Raphanus sativus (radish) is the source of this 218-nucleotide small nucleolar RNA. RefSeq annotates it as small nucleolar RNA U3. Lineage: Eukaryota; Viridiplantae; Streptophyta; Magnoliopsida; Brassicales; Brassicaceae. The transcript has a single exon. The record is from RefSeq and is a predicted model, not a curated record.
AUGAUCUUACUUGAACAUGAUAUGUUCUAUAGGCUUGUACCUUUGUAUCCUUGUUUUCUAAAGAGAAAUGCCCUAAAAACCUGAUGAUGAAUAGUGGCUGUGCGAUAUGAAUAGGAUUAGUGGGUACACUUCUUUUAGGAGUCUCUGCGCUGUAGAGGAUUGCUACCUAGUCUGGGUUUAACCAAGGCUAGAGUGGUCGCAACCUUGUCUAACAAGUU